This 253-nucleotide ribosomal RNA is filed under the name uncultured bacterium. Its description in RNAcentral is "partial 16S ribosomal RNA". It matches the Rfam family "Bacterial small subunit ribosomal RNA", at positions 524 to 776 of the family's 1533-position model. The record is from RNAcentral.
UACGUAGGGUGCAAGCGUUAAUCGGAAUUACUGGGCGUAAAGCGUGCGCAGGCGGUUGUGUAAGACAGAUGUGAAAUCCCCGGGCUCAACCUGGGAACUGCAUUUGUGACUGCACGGCUCGAGUGCGGCAGAGGGGGAUGGAAUUCCGCGUGUAGCAGUGAAAUGCGUAGAUAUGCGGAGGAACACCGAUGGCGAAGGCGGCAUCCUGGACCAACACUGACGCUGAGGAGCGAAAGCCAGGGGAGCAAACGGG